UCUGACCGCUCUAGAGAUAGAGUUUUCCUUCGGGACAGAGGUGACAGGUGGUGCAUGGUUGUCGUCAGCUCGUGUCGUGAGAUGUUGGGUUAAGUCCCGCAACGAGCGCAACCCCUAUUGUUAGUUGCCAUCAUUGAGUUGGGCACUCUAGCGAGACUGCCGGUAAUAAACCGGAGGAAGGUGGGGAUGACGUCAAAUCAUCAUGCCCCUUAUGACCUGGGCUACACACGUGCUACAAUGGCUGGUACAACGAGUCGCGAGUCGGUGACGGCAAGCUAAUCUCUUAAAGCCAGUCUCAGUUCGGAUUGUAGGCUGCAACUCGCCUACAUGAAGUCGGAAUCGCUAGUAAUCGCGGAUCAGCACGCCGCGGUGAAUACGUUCCCGGGCCUUGUACACACCGCCCGUCACACCACGAGAGUUUGUAACACCCGAAGUCGGUGAGGUAACCGUAAGGAGCCAGCCGCCUAAGGUGGGAUAGAUGAUUGGGGUGAAGUCGUAACAAGGUAGCCGUAUCGGAAGGUGCGGCUGGAUCACCUCCUUUCUAAGGAA
RNAcentral lists this ribosomal RNA (549 nucleotides) under Listeria monocytogenes. RNAcentral's name for it is "bacterial SSU rRNA". It matches the Rfam family "Bacterial small subunit ribosomal RNA", at positions 990 to 1533 of the family's 1533-position model. Lineage: Bacteria; Bacillati; Bacillota; Bacilli; Caryophanales; Listeriaceae. The record is from RNAcentral.